Oreochromis niloticus (Nile tilapia) is the source of this 343-nucleotide long non-coding RNA. RefSeq lists it as uncharacterized. The record is from RefSeq and is a predicted model, not a curated record. NCBI's taxonomy places the organism in Eukaryota, Metazoa, Chordata, Actinopteri, Cichliformes, Cichlidae. The transcript has 2 exons.
AGUCAGCUCCUAUAAAAACGUAUCACUGGCUUAUAUCCUGACAUUAGUUCCCGUGCUAAAACCAAAUAAACUGUGUACAUGUAGGUGAGCGUCUGAAUGAGCGAGUGGCGUACCACCGUCUGGGCUCACUGUACCACUGUCUGAAACAGUAUGAACUGGCUGAGCACUAUUACCUGAAGACCCUGACCCUCUGCCCAACACCUCUGCAGUUCGAUGAGGAGCCACUGUAUUAUGUGAGGCUGUGCCAAACACUGGGAGACAUUAUAUUCACUGAUCUGAAGGACCCUUUUGAUGCUGCUGGAUACUACCACCUAGCUCUCGCUGCAGCCAUGGAUCUGGGCAA